Molecule: non-coding RNA, 48 nt
Organism: Schistosoma margrebowiei
Lineage: Eukaryota; Metazoa; Platyhelminthes; Trematoda; Strigeidida; Schistosomatidae
Source: Rfam
AUCCAGUUGAUCAGUCCUAAAUAGGACGAAAUGUACAUCAAACUGUAU